AAGGGCUACGCGUAUAAAUACAAAGCAUGAAGCAACAGUGAAACAUACUUACCUGGACGGGGUCCAUGGGCGAUCAGGAAGGUUCAUGGCCUAGGUCAGCGAUGUCCAUUGCACAUAGGAUGGGUGCUGGCUUAAGGUCUCCCCAAGAGGGAGAGCCUACGUCAUAAUUUGUGGUAGAGGGGGCUGCGCAAGUCGCGGCCCUUGU
This is a long non-coding RNA of Populus trichocarpa (black cottonwood), 205 nucleotides long. RefSeq lists it as uncharacterized. The transcript is spliced from 2 exons. NCBI's taxonomy places the organism in Eukaryota, Viridiplantae, Streptophyta, Magnoliopsida, Malpighiales, Salicaceae. The record is from RefSeq and is a predicted model, not a curated record.